CAUUGAAAUUUGGAUGACAAACUGUAUGGUUGGACAGAAUGCCUGAAUGGAAUAUAUUCUUUGCUCAUUAGGCCAACCAUGCUCUACACCUAGACCUGAUGUUUAGGUCAUCUUCCUAAAAUAUCUCAUUCCAUGGGCAAGGCCUUCAAUGCAUUGGACGAGACUCAUCCAUACUGGGGAGAGCAAUCUGCACUUCUCAGUCUACAGAUUCAACUGUUAAUUUCAUCUACAAACACUCUUACAGACACACCAGAAUAAUGUUUCACCCUGCCCAGACAAGCUGACACAGAAAACAAUGAACCAUCACAGUUGCUGUGUCAGCAAUUAAAAAUUUCCACUAGAUAUGAACAAUUAUAUUUCUGGUGCAAAAUUAAAACAUUAGCCUUCCACUUUAUAUAUUAAUUUCUGUUGACUAAUAUAAAACAAUACCUGAAAAAUAAA
Molecule: long non-coding RNA, 441 nt
Organism: Eptesicus fuscus (big brown bat)
Lineage: Eukaryota; Metazoa; Chordata; Mammalia; Chiroptera; Vespertilionidae
Exons: 2
Source: RefSeq, a predicted model, not a curated record